Long non-coding RNA from Camellia sinensis, 818 nucleotides. RefSeq lists it as uncharacterized. The record is from RefSeq and is a predicted model, not a curated record. NCBI's taxonomy places the organism in Eukaryota, Viridiplantae, Streptophyta, Magnoliopsida, Ericales, Theaceae.
ACAUUACUCUUUCAUUAAACAACAAAUGAGCAUACAAAAAUGAUACAAACAACACCCCUAAUCUGGACUACACAAUUGAUAUUUUCUCCAUUUGGAAGACUUAAAAUUUCAUAUUAGUUAUUGAUUAACCUCUUGCAACACCAUUAAAAAUAAUUUUUUUAAGUCAUUUUUCGAUGAUGUCUAACAUGCAUAUUUUUUAAAACUCGCUUUUUGGAAGAAUCAAUCAAUGUCAUUGUUCAAACAAAUAAGGGAGAAUUACUGCCCAGUGGGGGCAGUAAACAAAACUUAAAAAUUAGUGGGGAAUUUCUACAAAUUAUAUUAGCAAUGGAGAGUGAAAUUUAUAUCACCAACUCAUGGAAUCUUGAGGGAAAAUGAUCGAUUUACCCUUCUAGGGAAAACGACAUCGUGGUCAAUAGUAGCAACUCAAUUACCAGGAACUACUGAAUGAUAUCAAGAAUUACUGGAACACCAAGUUCAAGAAGAAACUCAUGAAGAUUGGAAUUGGGAUUGCCCCUUCUUUCUCUCACAAUUAACGAAGAGUUCAUCAUCACCAACCCACAAGCUACCCAUUCAUUUCACUUCUUCAUCACGUUUCAACAUCAUCACCAUCCUCUCCACUUUCAUCAUCAUCAUCUCCGCUUUCAAUUUAUGGUUUUGUUAAGGACAAAAUGAAUUAUUUAUAGUUUCUCUCAAUGCAUUGACCACUUAAACAUCUUUUGUUUGAUUGGUUAGGAACAUGGUAUAUUCCUUGAAAGGGGAAUUAAUUAAUCUUAUUCGUGAUGUCUUAUUGAUCAAUAAUAUUGUAGUGUUCAUUUGUA